This 62-nucleotide transfer RNA is filed under the name Elateroides dermestoides (large timberworm). RNAcentral's name for it is "Hylecoetus dermestoides (large timberworm) tRNA-Leu". The record is from RNAcentral. Lineage: Eukaryota; Metazoa; Arthropoda; Insecta; Coleoptera; Lymexylidae.
UCUAAUAUGGCAGAGUAGUGCGAUGGUUUUAAGAACCAUAUAUGAAUAAAAAUCUUUUAGAA